This 253-nucleotide ribosomal RNA is filed under the name uncultured bacterium. Its description in RNAcentral is "partial 16S ribosomal RNA". It matches the Rfam family "Bacterial small subunit ribosomal RNA", at positions 524 to 776 of the family's 1533-position model. The record is from RNAcentral.
UACGUAGGGGGCAAGCGUUGUCCGGAAUCAUUGGGCGUAAAGAGCGCGUAGGCGGCCCAGUAAGUCCGCUCUGAAAGUCAGGGGCUCAACCCCUGAAUGCGGGUGGAUACUGCUGGGCUAGAGUCCGGAAGAGGCGAGUGGAAUUCCUGGUGUAGCGGUGAAAUGCGCAGAUAUCAGGAGGAACACCAAUGGCGAAGGCGGCCUUCUGGACGGAUACUGACGCUGAGGCGCGAAGGCCAGGGGAGCAAACGGG